This 285-nucleotide unclassified non-coding RNA is filed under the name Fusarium sp. Its description in RNAcentral is "partial contains 5.8S ribosomal RNA, internal transcribed spacer 2, and large subunit ribosomal RNA". The stretch from base 1 to 71 matches the Rfam family "5.8S ribosomal RNA", at positions 84 to 154 of the family's 154-position model. The record is from RNAcentral. Lineage: Eukaryota; Fungi; Ascomycota; Sordariomycetes; Hypocreales; Nectriaceae.
GUGAAUCAUCGAAUCUUUGAACGCACAUUGCGCCCGCCAGUAUUCUGGCGGGCAUGCCUGUUCGAGCGUCAUUUCAACCCUCAAGCCCAGCUUGGUGUUGGGACUCGCGAGUUAAAUCGCGUUCCCCAAAUUGAUUGGCGGUCACGUCGAGCUUCCAUAGCGUAGUAGUAAAACCCUCGUUACUGGUAAUCGUCGCGGCCACGCCGUUAAACCCCAACUUCUGAAUGUUGACCUCGGAUCAGGUAGGAAUACCCGCUGAACUUAAGCAUAUCAAUAAGCGGAGGA